GACGAACGCUGGCGGCGUGCUUAACACAUUCAAGUCGAACGGAAAGGCCCUGCUUUUGUGGGGUUCUCGAGUGGCGAACGGGUGAGUAACACGUGAGUUACCUGCCCUUCUCUUUGGGAUAACUUCAGGAAACUGGUUCUUAUACCGGAUAGGAGCUCCUGCUGCAUUGUGUGGGUUGGAAAGUUUCGGCGCUUGGGGUCGGUCUCGAUCCUUAUCAGCUUGUUGGUUGGGUAGUGGCUUACCAAGUCUUUGACGGGUGGCCGGCCUGAGUGGGUGACCGGCCACUUGGGAACUGCGAUACGGCACAAACUCCUAGGUGAGGCGGCAGUGGGGAAUAUUCCACAAUGGGCGGAAGCAUGAUGAAGCAACGCCGCGUGCGGGAUGACGGCCUUGGGGUUGAAAAACGGUUUCGCAUGUGACGAAGCGUGAGUGACGGUAAUGGGUAAAGAAGCACCGGCUAACUACGUG
This 468-nucleotide ribosomal RNA is filed under the name uncultured bacterium. RNAcentral's name for it is "partial 16S ribosomal RNA". It matches the Rfam family "Bacterial small subunit ribosomal RNA", at positions 28 to 507 of the family's 1533-position model. The record is from RNAcentral.